GAUGAACGCUGGCGGCGUGCCUAAUACAUGCAAGUCGAGCGAACGGAUGAGAAGCUUGCUUCUCUGAUGUUAGCGGCGGACGGGUGAGUAACACGUGGAUAACCUACCUAUAAGACUGGGAUAACUUCGGGAAACCGGAGCUAAUACCGGAUAAUAUUUUGAACCGCAUGGUUCAAAAGUGAAAGACGGUCUUGCUGUCACUUAUAGAUGGAUCCGCGCUGCAUUAGCUAGUUGGUAAGGUAACGGCUUACCAAGGCAACGAUGCAUAGCCGACCUGAGAGGGUGAUCGGCCACACUGGAACUGAGACACGGUCCAGACUCCUACGGGAGGCAGCAGUAGGGAAUCUUCCGCAAUGGGCGAAAGCCUGACGGAGCAACGCCGCGUGAGUGAUGAAGGUCUUCGGAUCGUAAAACUCUGUUAUUAGGGAAGAACAUAUGUGUAAGUAACUGUGCACAUCUUGACGGUACCUAAUCAGAAAGCCACGGCUAACUACGUGCCAGCAGCCGCGGUAAUACGUAGGUGGCAAGCGUUAUCCGGAAUUAUUGGGCGUAAAGCGCGCGUAGGCGGUUUUUAAGUCUGAUGUGAAAGCCCCACGGUCAACCGUGGAGGGUCAUUGGAACACUGGAAACACUUGAGUGCAACAGAGGACAAGUGGAAUUCCAUGUGUCACCCGGUGAAAUGCGCAGAGAUAUGGAGGAACACCAAGUGGGCGAAAGGCGACUUUCUGGGUCUGUAACUGACGUUUGGAUGUGCCGAAAGCGUGGGGAUCAACCGGAUUUAAAUACCCUGGUAGUCCAAGCC
This 802-nucleotide ribosomal RNA is filed under the name uncultured Staphylococcus sp. RNAcentral describes it as "bacterial SSU rRNA". It matches the Rfam family "Bacterial small subunit ribosomal RNA", at positions 28 to 801 of the family's 1533-position model. The record is from RNAcentral. Lineage: Bacteria; Bacillati; Bacillota; Bacilli; Caryophanales; Staphylococcaceae.